AGGAUAAACGCUGGCGGCGUGCCUAACACAUGCAAGUCGAACGCGCUUGCUAUCCGCGAGGACGGUGAGCGAGUGGCGGACGGGUGAGGAACACGUGGGUGACCUACCUUUCAGUGAGGGAUACCGGCGAGAAAUUGCCGACAAGACCGCAUACGCUUCUCUUUUCAAGGGGAGAAGGAAAGCUUUUCGCAAGAGAGGCGCUGGGAGAUGGGCCUGCGGCCGAUUAGCUAGCUGGUGGGGUAAUGGCCUACCAGGGCGACGAUCGGUAGCUGGUCUGAGAGGACGAUCAGCCACACUGGGAUUGAGAACGGCCCAGACUCCUACGGGGGGCAGCAGUGAGGAAUUUUCGGCAAUGGGGGCAACCCUGACCGAGCAACGCCGCGUGCAGGACGACGGCCUUCGGGUUGUAAACUGCUUUUCUCUGGGACGAGCAAGGACGGUACCAGAGGAAGAAGCCCCGGCUAACUACGUGCCAGCAGCCGCGGU
Molecule: ribosomal RNA, 486 nt
Filed under: uncultured bacterium
Lineage: Bacteria
Description: SSU rRNA
Rfam family: Bacterial small subunit ribosomal RNA
Source: RNAcentral